Molecule: ribosomal RNA, 331 nt
Filed under: uncultured bacterium
Lineage: Bacteria
Description: bacterial SSU rRNA
Rfam family: Bacterial small subunit ribosomal RNA
Source: RNAcentral
UGCGCAGGUGGUUUCUUAAGUCAGAUGUGAAAGCCCCGGGCUUAACCUGGGAAUUGCGUUUGAAACUGGGAGACUUGAGUGUGACAGAGGGGGGUGGAAUUCCACGUGUAGCAGUGAAAUGCGUAGAGAUGUGGAGGAACACCGAUGGCGAAGGCAGCCCCCUGGGUCAACACUGACGCUCAUGCACGAAAGCGUGGGGAGCAAACAGGAUUAGAUACCCUGGUAGUCCACGCCCUAAACGAUGUCAACUGGUUGUUGGGGGAUUAACUCCCUUAGUAACGAAGCUAACGCGUGAAGUUGACCGCCUGGGGAGUACGGCCGCAAGGUUAAA